UACGGAGGAUGCAAGCGUUAUCCGGAAUUAUUGGGCGUAAAGCGUCCGCAGGUGGCUGUUCAAGUCUGCUGUUAAAGCGUGCAGCUUAACUGCAUAUCGGCAGUGGAAACUGAAGAGCUAGAGUUCGGUAGGGGUAGCGGGAAUUCCCAGUGUAGCGGUGAAAUGCGUAGAUAUUGGGAAGAACACCAGCGGCGAAAGCGCGCUACUGGGCCGAGACUGACACUGAGGGACGAAAGCUAGGGGAGCGAAA
Molecule: ribosomal RNA, 250 nt
Filed under: uncultured bacterium
Lineage: Bacteria
Description: partial 16S ribosomal RNA
Rfam family: Bacterial small subunit ribosomal RNA
Source: RNAcentral